GAUGAACGCUGGCGGCGUGCUUAACACGUGCAAGUCGAACGAUGAAGCCCAGCUUGCUGGGUGGAUUAGUGGCGAACGGGUGAGUAACACGUGAGUAACCUGCCCUUAACUCUGGGAUAAGCCUGGGAAACUGGGUCUAAUACCGGAUAGGAGCGCCUACCGCAUGGUGGGUGUUGGAAAGAUUUAUCGGUUUUGGAUGGACUCGCGGCCUGUCAGCUUGUUGGUGAGGUAAUGGCUCACCAAGGCGACGACGGGUAGCCGGCCUGAGAGGGUGACCGGCCACACGGGGACUGAGACACGGCCCAGACGCCUACGGGAGGCAGCAGUGGGGAAUAUUGCACAAUGGGCGAAAGCCUGAUGCAGCGACGCCGCGUGAGGGAUGACGGCCUUCGGGUUGUAAACCUCUUUCAGUAGGGAAGAAGCGAAAGUGACGGUACCUGCAGAAGAAGCACCGGCUAACUACGUGCCAGCAGCCGCCGUAA
RNAcentral lists this ribosomal RNA (482 nucleotides) under uncultured bacterium. Its description in RNAcentral is "partial 16S ribosomal RNA". It matches the Rfam family "Bacterial small subunit ribosomal RNA", at positions 28 to 523 of the family's 1533-position model. The record is from RNAcentral.